UGGGGAAUAUUGGACAAUGGGCGCAAGCCUGAUCCAGCCAUGCCGCGUGAGUGAGGAAGGCCCUAGGGUUGUAAAGCUCUUUCACCGGUGAAGAUAAUGACGGUAACCGGAGAAGAAGCCCCGGCUAACUUCGUGCCAGCAGCCGCGGUAAUACGAAGGGGGCUAGCGUUGUUCGGAUUUACUGGGCGUAAAGCGCACGUAGGCGGACUAUUAAGUCAGGGGUGAAAUCCCGGGGCUCAACCCCGGAACUGCCUUUGAUACUGGUAGUCUUGAGUUCGAGGGAGGUGAGUGAAAUUCCGAGUGUAGGGGUGAAAUUCGUAGAUAUUCGGAGGAACACCAGUGGCGAAGGCGGCUCACUGGCUCGAUACUGACGCUGGGGUGCGAAGGCGUGGGGAGCAAACAGG
RNAcentral lists this ribosomal RNA (404 nucleotides) under Actinomycetes bacterium. Its description in RNAcentral is "Actinobacteria bacterium partial 16S ribosomal RNA". It matches the Rfam family "Bacterial small subunit ribosomal RNA", at positions 355 to 776 of the family's 1533-position model. The record is from RNAcentral. Lineage: Bacteria; Bacillati; Actinomycetota; Actinomycetes.